Molecule: long non-coding RNA, 121 nt
Organism: Aethalodelphis obliquidens (Pacific white-sided dolphin)
Lineage: Eukaryota; Metazoa; Chordata; Mammalia; Artiodactyla; Delphinidae
Exons: 3
Source: RefSeq, a predicted model, not a curated record
AAGAUGAGAGAUGAAAUGAAGGCAAUAAAUAGCAAACUAAAUAAUGCAGAAGAAUGAAUAAGUGAUCUGAAAGACAGAAUGAUAGAAAUCACCCAAUCAGAACAGCAUACAGAAAGACAAA